AUAUAAAUGUACAACAAGCAGUAAAGAGACAAUGAAACUAAGUGAUUUAGU
RNAcentral lists this non-coding RNA (51 nucleotides) under Trypanosoma brucei brucei. The record is from RNAcentral. Lineage: Eukaryota; Euglenozoa; Kinetoplastea; Trypanosomatida; Trypanosomatidae.